RNAcentral lists this ribosomal RNA (413 nucleotides) under uncultured bacterium. RNAcentral's name for it is "bacterial SSU rRNA". It matches the Rfam family "Bacterial small subunit ribosomal RNA", at positions 29 to 477 of the family's 1533-position model. The record is from RNAcentral.
AGCGAACGCUAGCGGCGGGCCUAACACAUGCAAGUCGAACGCGUACCUUCGGGUACGAGUGGCGAACGGGUGAGUAACACGUAGGUAUCUGCCUUUCGGUGGGGGAUAACCCGGGGAAACUCGGGCUAAUACCGCAUAUGGUCUACGGAUCAAAGCCUUCGGGCGCCGGAAGAUGAGCCUGCGGCCCAUUAUUUAAUCCUAGUUGGCGGGGUAACGGCCCACCAAGGGUACGAUGGGUAGCUGGUCUGAGAGGAUGAUCAGCCACACUGGAACUGAGACACGGUCCAGACUCCUACGGGAGGCAGCAGUGGGGAAUAUUGCGCAAUGGGCGAAAGCCUGACGCAGCCACGCCGCGUGGGAGAUGAAGGCCUCGGGUUGUAAACCCUGUCGUGGGGAAGAACGCAAUGACGGUA